UUACGGGAGGCAGCAGUGGGGAAUUUUGGACAAUGGGGGCAACCCUGAUCCAGCCAUGCCGCGUGAGUGAAGAAGGCCUUCGGGUUGUAAAGCUCUUUCGGCCGGGAAGAAAUCGCAUAGGCUAAUACCCUGUGUGGAUGACGGUACCGGAAUAAGAAGCACCGGCUAACUACGUGCCAGCAGCCGCGGUAAUACGUAGGGUGCGAGCGUUAAUCGGAAUUACUGGGCGUAAAGCGUGCGCAGGCGGUUUAGUAAGACAGGCGUGAAAUCCCCGGGCUCAACCUGGGAACUGCGCUUGUGACUGCUAAGCUAGAGUACGGCAGAGGGGGGUGGAAUUCCACGUGUAGCAGUGAAAUGCGUAGAGAUGUGGAGGAACACCGAUGGCGAAGGCAGCCCCCUGGGCCGAUACUGACGCUCAUGCACGAAAGCGUGGGUAGCAAACAGGAUUAGAUACCCUGGU
Molecule: ribosomal RNA, 460 nt
Filed under: uncultured bacterium
Lineage: Bacteria
Description: bacterial SSU rRNA
Rfam family: Bacterial small subunit ribosomal RNA
Source: RNAcentral